Molecule: long non-coding RNA, 2586 nt
Organism: Panicum virgatum (switchgrass)
Lineage: Eukaryota; Viridiplantae; Streptophyta; Magnoliopsida; Poales; Poaceae
Exons: 3
Source: RefSeq, a predicted model, not a curated record
AUGAUCCAUUGCCACCCCUGCGCACACCCCACUCCUCUCGACGGUUCCCAGCGACGGCCCGCCGCCGGCCGCCUUGCCGCCCUCCCCAUCACUGCCAGCUAGCCGCCCUACCUCUCCCUCCACUCCGCCCUUUGCCAAACCCUCACGCCUCUCUCCCCUCUCUCGCGACUCGCGAGCGCGGCCGCCUCCGGACUCCGCCUCUUCGCCUCGCGCCUGCUCCCCAGUGCAUCCCGAUGCAUUCGCGCUACCGUCAGCCUCCCUCGAUGCCUGCACUGCCUCCCCGCCGAGAACCUGCACCUCUCCCUCCUCCUCGAGGAGCUCGUGGUCUCCGAGCAGAGCAAUCUGGCAUCCGUGGUGGCUCUAACACCGCCGCUGAAGCCCGUGCAAGCCGAAGCAGCAUCCGGAUGCGCCCCAAAUAGCAUCUCCAUACGCUCGAAGUGGUUCAUCUCGCCAAAGCAGCCACUGCGCGAGAUCCAACCACAGCGCAUCCCCGGGGAAGGAGGACACAGGGGGAAGGAGAAAGAUGACGGGGAUGUGGAGAGGGCAGGGUGCUCUGAAGACGGAGCUGUGAAACAAGUGGGAGCGCAGCGCGUGCCCCUAUGACGGGUGGUGCAGGUUCACGCACGGCAUGGAGGAGCUGUGCCUCAUGAUCUACUACCCCCGCUGCAAUGCAAGACCCUCGUGGGCCAGUUGUUCGCCGCUGCCUCCGGCUGCCCCUACGGCCAUCGCUGCCACUUCCGCCACUCCUUGCCGUCCACUGCUGAGUCCUGCUAGGCCGCCGGCGACCGUCCGCCACCUACUGCUGCCACGUUGAUAUGAUCAAUGGCUGAAUUCUUAUUUGGAUGCAUUCAAGAAUGGAUCAAGAAACAGUGAAUUUGUUUCUCAAUACUUAUAUAUUUGAAUUUUCCUUUCCAAUAGUACAGAUUGUGUACUCUUUGCUAUAGUGUAUAUUUGUCCUAGGUGAGACAUGCCCUUACUGUAGAACAUGUUUUCCCCUGGUUUUAGAAGUUUUUAGCUCUUGGGGGUAUUGGUCGCCUUUUGGACUAGGGUUAAGGUUUUGCCCUCGUCGCUAUUCUCAGCAUGCCAUCAAUCUGCACAGUUCCUUUUCGUGCUCCUAAUGAUCUCAAAAAAUAUCAAACCUUUACAUGAGUUGGAGAAGAGUUAGAGAUCUUUCCAUGGCCGCAGAGAACAUCUCAAUCGGAUUUAAGAUGAGGGAGAAACUAAGGUUGGAAUCUGACUGUUUUUCAGUCUCGUAAUUCUGAGCAGUGUCUGUCAACCUGAAGUUUUGGAAAUAUUAAUGGCGUUUUUGGACUUUCUAGUAGUUAAAAGAGUUGUAGAUAAUUUCAUAGAAUUUCCAGAUUGGUAAAGAUCAUGUUCAUCUGAAUUUUGGAGCUUCAGUUAUGACUGUUUUAGUAGGACUGUUCUGCAGAAUCUGUCAGAUUGUCAGAUUAAUGUUCACCUCGAGUUUAUCCAAUGCUAAUGAUUCUUCCUACACUUUUUGAUAACUACAAAGUUGUAGGCUAUGAAGUUAUCUUUCUUGUGGCUAAAUAUCAGAAUUUUUCACCAUCAGAAUUAAAGACUCAAAAAGUGAAGCAAUAGUGCUGCUGUUUUCACUAGAUUAGCAUAUCAUGAUGUGAGGACGUUGGGUUUGGGCGUAGGAUCGCUUUACUCAAUGUUUUUUAUUUUUAAACUGUGUUUGUUUUGGUGCUGAGGUAUGUUUGUGAACAGGUGGUGCAUCUUCGGACCAUGCUUAACUCACAGUCUUGAUCUUUGGUGAAGGCAAGUAAACGUAGCGAUGUGGUCUACUCGCUUUAGCUUUGUUAUUUGAAUUGCCUCCAUUAAAUUUCAGAAGCUUACACGAGCCAGAUAAGAUCUGAAUUUUGCUUUAUUUGUGGAUUUAUAUGUUUAUCCACUUGUGGCUUUGCUCUUGGAGUUAUAAAUUUUGGAGGUAUAUGAAGUUCAUGCAUUGCAAUCAUACUUUUGCACUCUCAUAUUGAAGAUGCAUAUGAAGAAACCGUAGCCGGAUUGGUGCGGUAAGUACCGGUACAGCAACGCACGUUGAGAUAUAGCAAUGUGGUUGCAGCCCUCACUUCCUUGGGAUUUGUGGGUAGAAGUGAAGUCUUUCCAUUGCAUUGCACCAUAAGCACAUGCAUUGAAGCAUUCAUAAUGCAUUGCACAAUUUGCAUAUGCAUUGAAGCAUCAUUACGAAGAUCUCUACCUGAAGUUACACUGUCUUAGUAUGAUGCUUAUUCUAUAUGAAAUUAUUAAUCCAAUGUUUAAUCAAAUUAUGAUUUAAAUAGCUUGGUUAAAGCCGUUUUUUUGCUGAUAUUUUUCCAUAAACCUCACACUUGAUGUUUUCCCUCACAGGUGCUUGAGCUUGGACGUUGCAUGCUUGGGAUGGAAGUAGCAGCACGUGUGCACACACAUAUCAAUUUUUGUUGAACCAAUGUUUUAUAAUAAAAUAUUUGGAUGUGGAGAUUCUGAUGUUGUUUUAAAAUCUCUCGUGUGGUUCAGUUUGUCAAAUAUUUAUUUCACUUCUGUGAAAUUUUGUUAAUCUAUCUGAAUGAUUUAUGUUGCUUCCGCGUA